AGAGUUUGAUCCUGGCUCAGAUUGAACGCUGGCGGUAUGCUUAACACAUGCAAGUCGAACGGAAACGAAACUAGCUUGCUAGUAGGCGUCGAGUGGCGGACGGGUGAGUAACGCGUAGGAAUCUGCCUGAUAGUGGGGGAUAGCCCGAAGAAAUUCGGAUUAAUACCGCAUAAUCUAUUCGUAGUAAAGUGGGGGACUUUCGAGCCUCACGCUAUCAGAUGAGCCUGCGUAAGAUUAGCUAGUUGGUAGGGUAAAAGCCUACCAAGGCAACGAUCUUUAGCUGGUCUGAGAGGAUGAUCAGCCACAUCGGGACUGAGACACGGCCCGAACUCCUACGGGAGGCAGCAGUGGGGAAUAUUGGACAAUGGGGGCAACCCUGAUCCAGCAAUACCGCGUGUGUGAAGAAGGCCUGAGGGUUGUAAAGCACUUUCAAUUGUGAAGAAAAGUUAACGGUUAAUAACCGUUAGCCUUGACGUUAACUUUAGAAGAAGCACCGGCUAACUAUGUGCCAGCAGCCGCGGUAAUACGGAGGGUGCAAGCGUUAAUCGGAAUUACUGGGCGUAAAGCGUGCGUAGGCGGUUUAUUAAGUCAGAUGUGAAAGCCCCGGGCUUAACCUGGGAACUGCAUUUGAAACUGGUCAACUAGAGUAUGGUAGAGGAAAGUGGAAUUUCUGGUGUAGCGGUGAAAUGCGUAGAUAUCAGAAGGAACAUCAAUGGCGAAGGCAGCUUUCUGGACCAAUACUGACGCUGAGGUACGAAAGCGUGGGUAGCAAACAGGAUUAGAUACCCUGGUAGUCCACGCCGUAAACGAUGAUAACUAGCCGUUGGGGGGAUUUACCCUUUAGUGGCGAAGCUAACGCGUUAAGUUAUCCGCCUGGGGAGUACGGCCGCAAGGCUAAAACUCAAAGGAAUUGACGGGGACCCGCACAAGCGGUGGAGCAUGUGGUUUAAUUCGAUGCAACGCGAAGAACCUUACCUGGUCUUGACAUCCUGCGAACUUUCUAGAAAUAGAUUGGUGCCUUCGGGAACGCAGUGACAGGUGCUGCAUGGCUGUCGUCAGCUCGUGUCGUGAGAUGUUGGGUUAAGUCCCGUAACGAGCGCAACCCCUAUCUUUAUUUGCCAGCACAUUAUGGUGGGAACUAUAAGGAGACUGCCGGUGAUAAACCGGAGGAAGGCGGGGACGACGUCAAGUCAUCAUGGCCCUUACGACCAGGGCUACACACGUGCUACAAUGGGAAGGACAAAGAGCCGCGAAGCCGCGAGGUGUAGCUAAUCUCAUAAAUCUUUUCGUAGUCCGGAUUGGAGUCUGCAACUCGACUCCAUGAAGUCGGAAUCGCUAGUAAUCGUAGAUCAGAAUGCUACGGUGAAUACGUUCCCGGGUCUUGUACACACCGCCCGUCAUACCAUGGGAGUGGGUUGCACCAGAAGUGGCUAGUCUAACUUUGUGAGGACGGUCACCACGGUGUGAUUCAUGACUGGGGUAAAGUCGUAACAAGGUAACC
Molecule: ribosomal RNA, 1501 nt
Filed under: uncultured bacterium
Lineage: Bacteria
Description: bacterial SSU rRNA
Rfam family: Bacterial small subunit ribosomal RNA
Source: RNAcentral